RNAcentral lists this ribosomal RNA (370 nucleotides) under Pseudomonas koreensis. RNAcentral's name for it is "bacterial SSU rRNA". It matches the Rfam family "Bacterial small subunit ribosomal RNA", at positions 114 to 479 of the family's 1533-position model. Lineage: Bacteria; Pseudomonadati; Pseudomonadota; Gammaproteobacteria; Pseudomonadales; Pseudomonadaceae. The record is from RNAcentral.
UGCCUAGGAAUCUGCCUUGGUAGUGGGGGACAACGUUUCGAAAGGAACGCUAAUACCGCAUACGUCCUACGGGAGAAAGCAGGGGACCUUCGGGCCUUGCGCUAUCAGAUGAGCCUAGGUCGGAUUAGCUAGUUGGUGAGGUAAUGGCUCACCAAGGCGACGAUCCGUAACUGGUCUGAGAGGAUGAUCAGUCACACUGGAACUGAGACACGGUCCAGACUCCUACGGGAGGCAGCAGUGGGGAAUAUUGGACAAUGGGCGAAAGCCUGAUCCAGCCAUGCCGCGUGUGUGAAGAAGGUCUUCGGAUUGUAAAGCACUUUAAGUUGGGAGGAAGGGUUGUAGAUUAAUACUCUGCAAUUUUGACGUUACC